GCACGUUUCUAGUCAGAUCAUCAAAGUCGUCUCCACCAAAUCGAUAGUUAUCAUCUCAUCGAAAGAUCGGGACCCUCGCCUCUAUCAGAGAGUUGAAGCUGCAAAGAAGCGUGAUGAGGAAAAAGCUGAAUUUAUGACUGACAGAUUACAUGCUGGUUUCUUACUGCUUAGGUUUCGACAUUCGACAUUUGAACAAAUCAUAUACUGGAGAUUAUUAUAAUAGAAGAGUGCAGGGAAAUGUAUGAGGUGAAUCAAUUUUCCUAUUCUGUUGUUGCUGCUAUAUUCAGGUGUAUGUGGGUUUAAGAUUGGCCACUAAUUGUUGAACCAGGAGCUUUCCCUCAUUAGGAAUAUAAGCUGAAACUUUCCCAUUGCCUUGAUUCUUUGUAGGAAAGACAUACAAGAUGACCAGGAACCAUGAAGCUCGCAGUUUGCGUUAACUGUGUAAUGGAGUGGACUAUGAAAAGCUGGACAUGUGUCGAUUAGCUAUCAUAUAUGGUUUCUCGGUCAAGUGGAUAUUCUGUGUAAUGGAAGACGCGUGAUUUGUAGGACAUAUAUCUAUUGGCUAUCAUUUUGUAAACCUAUCCGGUCUCUCGAUCACUGAACCAUAAAUGUUUCCUCUUAAUUGGCUACCUCCUCCGUUUGUGAGAAGUAAUUAAUGUGCUAUUUUUGUUUGGUUUUGGUUUAAUAUUUUUGGAGUACAUGCAUGUUACUU
Long non-coding RNA from Triticum dicoccoides, 712 nucleotides. RefSeq lists it as uncharacterized. The transcript has 3 exons. NCBI's taxonomy places the organism in Eukaryota, Viridiplantae, Streptophyta, Magnoliopsida, Poales, Poaceae. The record is from RefSeq and is a predicted model, not a curated record.